RNAcentral lists this ribosomal RNA (120 nucleotides) under Helianthus annuus (common sunflower). The record is from RNAcentral. Lineage: Eukaryota; Viridiplantae; Streptophyta; Magnoliopsida; Asterales; Asteraceae.
GGUUGCGAUCAUACCAGCACUAAUGCACCGGAUCCUAUCAGAACUCCGCAGUUAAGCGUGCUUGGGCUAGAGUAGUACUAGGAUGGGUGACCCCCUGGGAAGUCCUCGUGUUGCAACCCC